Molecule: ribosomal RNA, 440 nt
Filed under: uncultured bacterium
Lineage: Bacteria
Description: partial 16S ribosomal RNA
Rfam family: Bacterial small subunit ribosomal RNA
Source: RNAcentral
CCUACGGGAGGCAGCAGUGGGGAAUAUUGCACAAUGGGGGAAACCCUGAUGCAGCGACGCCGCGUGAGUGAAGAAGUAUUUCGGUAUGUAAAGCUCUAUCAGCAGGGAAGAAAAUGACGGUACCUGAUUAAGAAGCCCCGGCUGACUACUUCCCAGAAGCCGGGGUAAUACGAAGGGGGCACGCGUUAUCCGGAUUUACUGGGUGGAAAGGGAGCGUAGACGGCAGCACAAGUCUGAAGUGAAAUGCCGGGGCUUAACCCCGGAACUGCUUGGGAAACUGUGCAGCUAGAGUGCAGGAGAGGUAAGUGGAAUUCCUAGUGUAGCGGUGAAAUGCGUAGAUAUUAGGAGGAACACCAGUGGCGAAGGCGGCUUACUGGACUGUAACUGACGUUGAGGCUCGAAAGCGUGGGGAGCAAACAGGAUUAGAUACCCCGGUAGUC